Molecule: non-coding RNA, 2652 nt
Organism: Pelobates cultripes (western spadefoot toad)
Lineage: Eukaryota; Metazoa; Chordata; Amphibia; Anura; Pelobatidae
Source: the annotation of a GenBank genome assembly
GAAUAAUACAUCAAUUAUUGGUUAGGUGUUAAGUGGUUGCUUCAAUGCUCUGCCUACUGUAGGUGAUGUCACCGGGGCCAUGAGAAUCUCCCACGGUUUCCCGGCGCCAUCUUGGUGCACGAGGUAGUUAGUCGAUGUUAGAAGGGAGAAAGGAAGGGGGAGGGGGAAGGAGCUAGAAGCUUCUAGCAGCCAUCUUGAUUAUAACGUGUGUGCUUAGCUAUAUAUGUAUAUAUCGUGAAAUGAGUAAAUAGACAUUUUUCACUAACUAGGAAAUAUGUGUAGACCUUAUUUCCACAACAGUCCCCCCUAAAAUGGCUAUUUACCAUAACAACUGCUACUGUCCCUAAUAUGUCCCUAGUUGCCUGCAACCUAUCUGUCUUAACAAGCAUCGAACACUUCACUCCGUGGGUAACCCGCGGUGACUAGUCCACCACAUCUCCACACGUGAGACUUGCCAGUUAAGACAGACGCUUUCCCUAUACUGUCCCUACAGGAAAGCAGUUGUCUGUUUGAACUGAUGUGAUUGAAGGGGUGUAUGUGGAGUAUCAUCUUCGAGGUCUGUGAUGUCUUGGUGUAUGAAAGUAGGGGUCACGCCAUCUAUAGUCUUGUCUACCGCUUUCUGUAAGUAGUUCUGUAUGCAGGGGAAUAUGCAACAGGUCAAAAAUAAGAAAAUGACGAUCAUUAUGAGAACAGCUGUCCCCACCUGGAAGAGGGUCCUUUGCCAACCAUUCAUCCAUCCAAACCAUCUGUCCCAAGUGUCAGUGACUCCUGAAUUUUUCUUUAGCUCGUCUGCAAGACUAUCUAGCUUUUCUAUGGCCAUAGUCACCUUACCAUUGGGUCCAGUGUUGUCUGGAAUGUAUGUGCAGCAUGUCAUGGUCUCAGGGAGGAUUUUACAUACACCCCCUUUCUCAGCUAAUAUCAUAUCUAGGGCCAUUCUGUUCUGAAAUGUCAUUUGGGUAGUGGCUUGCAGUUGCUCUGCCAGGCCCUGUAGGGCAUCCCUAGUGUAGUUGACAAAGCGCUGUUGAUUAUAGUAAAUGUAGUUAAUCCAAUUGACAUUUUUAUUAGCAGUUAUCAUUGGAAUUAGGGAUUCAAAUCCUGCAGCCACUUCAUCUCUUGCCUUGAAUUCGUUAGGCACCCCCCUUGGCACACCUAUGGCAUCAAUAUACACAUGGGGGUCGAAGCUCCCUUGGAUAGGAGUCUCUCGUUUAGUUCUAGAGUGUACAUGUGUAAGGUUUAACGUGUUAUGGUCACCAUCUGGAAUGAUAUGGAUAGGCAUUAUGACUUUAGUUAGGGCACACUCCCCCCACCAUUGCCCAGUUAAUUGGGACCUCAAUUGUUUAUCACCACAUAACCAGUAGAUAUCACCGAUUGUCUUUGUGUGAUUCAUUAGCAGUGAUAUGGGUGGAUUAUGGUAAGUUGAACAGUAUCCUGAUGGGAAUUUGCCCAGAUACAAACCGGUGUUCUUAGAUAUUGUGUAACAUGUGUAAUUACCUGGGUAGAUGGUGACUCCAUCAGGUGGUUUUACAUGUCCAUGAGUGAUCGGGUAAAUUCUCUUCCAUGAUUCACAUGUUGAGGAGUUGGUGAUGGACUGUGUGUAAAGACUCAGAACACAUGACUCUACUUCAGGAGGUAAGUUCAGAGGAACUGUGCCCAGAUGGGGUCUGGCUCCUCCACACACGUAACAAUUAGUUCUAUUGUGUGAGUUGGCAUUGUACCUCAUCCAUUCUAGCCACAAAUUAGUGUCUGAAAAACCAGUCUCCACUGCCAUAGUGUCUUCAAAGGUGGGGUUGGCUAUAGCUACCAUCUCAUGUAGGGUCUUAAUAUGUGGUUUUAAUGGGUUAACGAUCAUGUGAGUGGUCCCUACCCAGUCUGGGGAGGUGAGCAUGUCUUGUAGGUAAAACGUCCCCAAUGCAUUAUGUGAGCCACCUCCCUUCCAGUACAUCCCCAUCACAUAUUCCACCGCGUCCCUUGGACUAGGGUGCUCUAUAUUUAGGGUAAGUUUAAUGGGAGUUGACCCUGUGGGUUUACUCAGAGUCAUUCUAGAAAGUAGGGGCUUCCCGUCUUUGUCAAGUCUGUCUAGUGCAACCUGAGGUCUGUAGCCCCAUGGUCUACCUGUAUUCCACCCGGCAGCUUUCCAUGAACUACAAUGGUGUCCCCAGGCUCCUCCAGUCACACAAAUGUAUGGGUCCUUUUUGUUGGGUAUGUCUUUGUAUAUGGCUGCAUGUUGUGUCUGCGGGAAUGUACAAGUAACUAUGUCACAGUAAUCAAAGGUGUAUGUGGCCACAUCAGUAUUAGAAGAGUUGUACCAGAAAGUGUAAACGUGAUUAUCUUUGGUUAUGGCCACUUGCUGGGCCCAGGCAAAGUGCAACAACACAAGAAAACACAAGACACAUAAUAAAUUCAUGUUUCAACAGGAUCAGCUUCUUCUGGAGCAGGCACUUUUUUGCAAUGUGAAGCGUGUAUCCAGGAACUUUUCCCAGCUAGUUUAACUGACGUUGCUGUAAUCAGGAGGAGCACUUGAUAAGGACCAUCAAAUCUUGGUUCUAGGGUGUGUUUUCUGAGGAACUUCUUAACCAUAACCCAAUCACCCGGAAGCAGCUUGUGUGUACCUGUAUUCGACUCAGGAUCUGGAAUAGAAGAAAACACUUGGGC